CUCCUACGGGAGGCAGCAGUGAGGAAUUUUGCGCAAUGGGGGAAACCCUGACGCAGCAACGCCGCGUGAGUGAUGAAGGCUUUCGAGUCGUAAAGCUCUGUCAAGUGGGAAGAAACUGCUCCGUGCUAAUAUCACGGAACACUGACGGUACCACUGAAGGAAGCACCGGCUAACUCCGUGCCAGCAGCCGCGGUAAUACGGGGGGUGCAAGCGUUAUUCGGAAUCAUUGGGCGUAAAGGGCGCGUAGGCGGUCUCUUAAGUCAGGUGUGAAAGCCCGGGGCUUAACCCCGGAAGUGCACUUGAAACUAAGGGACUUGAGUAUGGGAGAGGGAAGUGGAAUUCCUGGUGUAGCGGUGAAAUGCGUAGAUAUCAGGAGGAACACCGGUGGCGAAGGCGACUUCCUGGACCAAUACUGACGCUGAGGCGCGAAGGCGUGGGGAGCAAACAGGAUUAGAUACCCUGGUAGUCCACGCAGUAAACGGUGAACACUAGGUGUAGUGGGUAUUGACCCCUGCUGUGCCGCAGUUAACGCAUUAAGUGUUCCGCCUGGGGAGUACGGCCGCAAGGUUAAAACUCAAAGGAAUUGACGG
Molecule: ribosomal RNA, 590 nt
Filed under: uncultured bacterium
Lineage: Bacteria
Description: bacterial SSU rRNA
Rfam family: Bacterial small subunit ribosomal RNA
Source: RNAcentral